RNAcentral lists this ribosomal RNA (447 nucleotides) under uncultured bacterium. Its description in RNAcentral is "bacterial SSU rRNA". It matches the Rfam family "Bacterial small subunit ribosomal RNA", at positions 328 to 792 of the family's 1533-position model. The record is from RNAcentral.
AAUCCAGACUCCUACGGGAGGCAGCAGUGGGGGAUAUUGCACAAUGGGGGAAACCCUGAUGCAGCGGCGCCGCGUGAGUGAAGAAGUAUUUCGGUAUGUAAAGCUCUAUCAGCAGGGAAGAAAAUGACAGUACCUGACCAAGAAGCCCCGGCUAACUACGUGCCAGCAGCCGCGGUAAUACGUAGGGGGCAAGCGUUAUCCGGAUUUACUGGGUGUAAAGGGAGCGUAGACGGUUAUGUAAGUCUGGAGUGAAAGCCCGGGGCCCAACCCCGGGACUGCAUUGGGAACUACAGGGCUGGAGUGCCGGAGAGGUAGGCGGAAUUCCUAGUGUAGCGGUGAAAUGCGUAGAUAUUAGGAGGAACACCAGUGGCGAAGGCGGCCUACUGGACGGUGACUGACGCUGAGGCUCGGAAGCGUGGGGAGCAAACAGGAUUAGAUACCCGCGUA